RNAcentral lists this small nuclear RNA (27 nucleotides) under Arabidopsis thaliana (thale cress). RNAcentral describes it as "snRNA_16800". The record is from RNAcentral. Lineage: Eukaryota; Viridiplantae; Streptophyta; Magnoliopsida; Brassicales; Brassicaceae.
AGCAUAUCAAUAAGCGGAGGAAAAGAA